RNAcentral lists this ribosomal RNA (301 nucleotides) under uncultured bacterium. RNAcentral describes it as "partial 16S ribosomal RNA". It matches the Rfam family "Bacterial small subunit ribosomal RNA", at positions 509 to 807 of the family's 1533-position model. The record is from RNAcentral.
CAGUAGCCGCGGUAAUACGUAGGUGGCAAGCGUUGUCCGGAAUUAUUGGGCGUAGAGGGCUCGCAGGCGGUUUCUUAAGUCUGAUGUGAAAGCCCCCGGCUCAACCAGGGAGGGUCAUUGGAAACUGGGAAACUUGAGUGCAGAAGAGGAGAGUGGAAUUCCACGUGUAGCGGUGAAAUGCGUAGAGAUGUGGAGGAACACCAGUGGCGAAGGCGACUCUCUGGUCUGUAACUGACGCUGAGGAGCGAAAGCGUGGGGAGCGAACAGGAUUAGAUACCCCCGUAGUCCCUGUCUCUUAUAC